GAUGAAGAACGUAGCGAAAUGCGAUAAGUAGUGUGAAUUGCAGAAUUCAGUGAAUCAUCGAAUCUUUGAACGCACAUUGCGCCCCUUGGUAUUCCAUGGGGCAUGCCUGUUCGAGCGUCAUUUGUACCUUCAAGCUUUGCUUGGUGUUGGGUGUUUGUCCCUCGGGACUCGCCUUAAAGUCAUUGGCAGCCAGUGUUUUGGUUUUGAAGCGCAGCACAAGUCGCGAUUCAAGGCUAUCCGCCCGCUUCCACAAGCCUUUUUCACUUUUGACCUCGGAUCAGGUAGGGAUACCCGCUGAACUUAAGCAUAUCAAUAGCCGAGGA
Molecule: unclassified non-coding RNA, 323 nt
Filed under: soil metagenome
Description: partial contains 5.8S ribosomal RNA, internal transcribed spacer 2, and large subunit ribosomal RNA
Rfam family: 5.8S ribosomal RNA (bases 1-120)
Source: RNAcentral